Molecule: long non-coding RNA, 1451 nt
Filed under: Salmo salar (Atlantic salmon)
Lineage: Eukaryota; Metazoa; Chordata; Actinopteri; Salmoniformes; Salmonidae
Description: lncRNA (ENSSSAG00000083723.1)
Source: RNAcentral
UUUUUUAUUAUACCAUUUUGUCUUUAUUUCAUAAAGAAAAGUAAAAAGUGAAAUAUGAAAACAUCUCAAUAAUCCCCCCACCUUCCCCUCUUAGCCUGGAUGCCUGACUUGGUUUGGUGUUCAACAACAAAGCUGACUGAUUAAGAAACAACCCCCUAGCCCUUAGCCCCUACCCUUGGUACUUCUGAGUGGUUUGGAUGGGUAUACGAUAGGAAAUAAGGGCUAGGGAGUAAGGGGGUUAGAGUCUAGGGUGUAGGGACUAGGGAGUAAGGGGGUUAGAGGCUAGGGUGUAGGGGCUAGGGGGUAAGGGGGUUACAGGCUAGGGUGUAGGGGCUAGGGAGUAAGGGGGUUAGAUGCUAGGGUAUAGGGGCUAGGGAGUAAGGAGGUUAGAGGCUAGAGUGUAGGGGCUAGGGCGUAAAAUGGUUAGAGGCUAGGGUGUAGGGGCUAGGGAGUAAGGGGGUUAGAGACUAGGGGGUAGGGGCUAGGGAGUAGGGGGGUUAGAGGCUAGGGUGUAGGGGCUAGGGAGUAAAAUGGUUAGAGGCUAGGGUGUAGGGGCUAGGGAGUAAGAGGGUUAGAGGCUAGGGAGUAAGGGAGUAAAGUCUAGGGUGUAGGGGCUAGGGAGUAAGAGGGUUAGAGGCUAGGGAGUAAGGGAGUAAAGCCUAGGGUGUAGGGGCUAGGGAGUAAAAGGGUGAAGUCUAGAGGGUAGAGGGUUUCUGGCCCAGUACUUGUUAUUUAAAACAGAAUCAUCCUGGCAGCCAUGUUACAACUCCAUCCUCCUAAUGAAAGAUAGACCCCUGUGAAGAUGACAUGCUGUGUCUCAAAUGGCACCAUAUUCCCUAUAGAGUGGACCAGGUCAAAAGUAUUGCACUAUAUAGGGAAUAAGGUGCCAUUUGGAAUGCAUCCCAUGUACCCUCCUCCACUACUGCAUCUCCUGGUGCCCUACAGCACCCUAUUAUACAACACAAAGUGGCUUAAAGUAGAAUACUGACAGACAGACAAAACAAAGUGAUUUUGUUGGUGGCAUCUCUGUCUCCUCUGCUGUUUUCCUCUCCUCCUCUUCUCCUCUUCUUCACCAUUCACAUCAAGGAGUGGCAUCCCCUUUCCUUUCCUGUUCAAUGGCUGAAACAGAAGACAGCAAGACACAUACUGUAUACAUGUGGUGGAGAUGUUGGGGAGGGAGAAUGUGAAUUGGGCUCCGGUGGUGUGUGGUUGUGUUGCAGAGACAAUACAGAGUUCAUCCCAAAUGGUACCCUAUUCCCUAAAUAGUGCACUACUUUGACCUGGGCCUAUAGGGAGAGAGUGAUGCUGCUGAUUCAGUGAUUUGUAGUAAAGAAGUGUUUGUAUACUGCAGAGCCAGAGGAAGGUUGACAGCAGUAGAACUGACAACACCUAUAGCUGCUAAGAUGAUGGCAGGGGAGAGAGAGAGAGGGGGGAGAGAGAUGGGGGGAGAG